RNAcentral lists this long non-coding RNA (8309 nucleotides) under Homo sapiens (human). RNAcentral's name for it is "HSALNT0366609". Lineage: Eukaryota; Metazoa; Chordata; Mammalia; Primates; Hominidae. The record is from RNAcentral.
GGGUUGGGUGGUGGAGAGCGCGUGUCAUCUGCGGGUGGCACUGCCCACGGUGGGCGGGCGGGCCCCUCUACUCGAAGGUGACCACGUUUAGAUUCUGAGACGGGAAGUGGAGGGUGAAUAGGUCACGGCGGCCUUUUUUUUUUAGUUUAACUUUUCCUUUUUUGCCGUCUGGUCAUCCUCGUCGGUCUUCUGCUUCUGGGUAUCGACAUCGUUAUCCUCAUCAUCUUCAGCUGCCCGCUUGCCCGUAGCUGACUCAGCUCCCUCAUCUUCAUCUCCAUCCUCUUCCUCACCAUCACCUUCUUCCUCCCCACCUUCUUCCUCUUCUUCAUCUACCUCGUUGUCAGCCUCCGGCUCCCCAUUUUCCUCAUUAGCAUUCCCGUGAGCAGGGGCGUCUCUUCCAUUUUCCGCCUCUUCCACAACUUCCUUCUUCUCCUUUAAGUCCUCGGUGGUGAUUUCGGAGCUGGUGUCUACGGCUGCGUCUGACAUGGUGGGGCACGCCGGUGACGCGAUGCAGGGGAUAAAAAAGAAAGCGACAGUUCAGGGACUCUGGCGAUAAAGCUGCCGGAGUCCGCGGCGGCGGAGGCGGCUGCGGCGAGCAAGGAGGCUGACGACGCACAAUGCAAAGACGGCUUUUCAGAGCAGCCAGUGGGGCAGGACAAUGUUUUUCAUCAAAUGUCCUUAGAUUUGGAGGAGGGUAAGAGUUGUUUUUUUUUUCUCUCUCUCUCUCAGAGAAAAGCAUGCCCCCAAAAGACAUUCCACAACUGCAUACUCUGGCAAGUCACUUAACAUGAAAUUUUUCUCUAUAUAUUACACUUACCUGAUGCACAGGGCAGCGUGUUGAAAGUUUCCUCCUUUGCUAUUCCUUCAGGCUUUAUAUUGACAAAAAAAAAAAAAAAAAGUAAAGCGAUACUGAAUGUAUAAAAGAAAAAUUAAACACUUGAAAGCAAAGGAGAAAAUGGUGGUGAAAAAUUGGAUUGUAGAUCUAUCCACAUUCUUGGGAAUUAAAUGUCACUGUGAGAUGCAUGUUAGAUAAUACUGUAUGAAAUAAUAAGGGCUCUGAGACUCACAGAGAGUAGACUUACGUACCUCAACUAGUAAGGCCUUGACUACAGUGUCCUUCUGCGCAAGUGGUGGGACGUCAGUCAACUCAUUGUCACACACUUCCUGAGAAUGCAUGGCUUCCGCAGUGGCUGUGAAAUUCACCUUUCCUGGGGAAUAAAGUUCUUAAGAGUUAAACGGUGAUUCUAUAUUGAACAGUUUCUUCUUUUCCAGUUUCCCCAGUGUAUCCAGUGGUUGUCUUCCUCUUGAUUAAUAUUAAAGGAGGAGAAAAAGUGUGUAUUGGGGUCAGUGCAGAAAACAAAUCAUCCAAGCACACGAAGUGGAAUUUGCUAAUAGCAUUACUACUCACCCAGUGACUUCGGAGUCACAACCCAGGACACGGUUUUCCGCCCAUUUCUACAGACACAGUGAGAUUCUUCAUUCUUCUCUGUUGGAACAGCCAGGAAAGCGGAAGAGACCUCCAGCUGCACAACGACCUGUCCCCCACACCCAACCACAAGUUUAUGAAGGGAUGCAGAACAGCAUGAAUACUGCAAAAGAUGCUCUGUGCAUCAGGUAAAUGGACUGAGGGACAAUGUCCAUGAGUCCAGAGGCGCUGAGAAGCUGUGCAAAUAUGGUCAGCUCUAUCAGACACUUUGUAGUUUAGGUGUUUGAAACAAGAAAAUUGAAAAACUGACAGGAAUUAGGAUAAGUGUUUAGGAUUUAGCCUUGUGCCAACAGAAGAAAGAGGUGUUUAGUGAAAAACAUGAAACAAUCAGGUGGACAUAAUGUCUGAAUUUAGGAAUACACAGAUAUAGGAGCCUGAAUGAAUAUAACCUUACCACCUUGGGCCUGUCAGGUACCUUUUCUCUUAGUACCAGGUCUGCUCCAAAAUUAGGAUAUAUCAUAUGCAGUUCUGAUUUCCUGGGUUACCUAGGAGACCUGGUAAUGAAUGGUGACUAUCUUCUAUUCUCAUUCACUUCCAGAGAAGUGUCCUUACCCGAAUGCAGGUGGACAAGCAGUUAAACACAGUGGCUUUGAGUGUGAAGGCUUCUCCUCGCACCACAGAAUAAGGAAGGGUGAGUUCUAGGAAGAAAGGCUGGAAGGCUUGAAGAGACACGAUAGGAGAGAGGCCAAACCCUGUGGUUCCAGACAAGCAGAAUGCGCUGGCCUUCCACUCUGUGAUGGUUUCAGGGACCUGGUCACCAGCUCACUUAUACCUAAUGAGCUAGUGAAGGAGCAGAGAAGAGGAGUAUAAGCAAAUCUUUUUUUUUUUUUUUUAACACAAAGCAUGGCUGAUCCUAGAACAUGAUAACUCAGUAACCUAGUGUGGUAAAUGCUAAACUUGAUCUAAGGGUUGGUGCUCCUGGUGAGGUUUAAAGUUUUUUUUCUCCCUACCUCCCUUACUCCCUCCUUCCCUCCCUCCCUUUAUUUCUUCCUCUUUUCUUUCAUUCUUUCCUUCCUUUUGUUCUUUCUUUCAAUCUCCCUCCCCUCCCCUUCCCUUUCCUUUAUUUAAGAGGGCUGGUAGCAUCCUACUUUCUAUUAUCUUAGUUAUCAAUAGACUAAAUUAGAAAAAAAAUUAGCAUUGUUUAAUUAUGAGAUAAAUGAACUAUAAACCUAAAUAUUUACCAGAAAAGAGCAGAGCAGAACUAAAAGGAUCAGGAAUCCAGGAUAACAUCAGUCAUACAGCAGGAUUCAAACCCUCUCCUAAACUAAAUUCCAGGCAACACACAACUUACUCAACUACCACCAAAUCCCAGAUCCAGGUCUCAGGGAAGUACUUCCGGACUAUCUCUUUCACUUGCAAUAUCUGAGGUUCUUCUUCGAUCAUUGGGUACAUUAUUUCUACGGCUCCUGGGGGUACACCUCGCAGACCUGGUCCUGGAAGACAACACACAGGCCUCAGUGUGAACCUCAUUUUUAUCAUCAAUUUCUUAUUGCUGCCUUAUUUCUCAAAUGGAAUAAGGUCAUACGCUCAGGGAAUGUUUAUUAUUGGAACAAUUUAACCUACCAGCUUGUUAUUUUGUUCACUUUCCUAUAAAAAGGCUAAUCCUAUUUUUUCUUCAAAUAGAAUCUAGAGCUAAAUAUAUUUUUCUUUAUAAAUAAAAACAAAUGACCUGUACAUGUACCUCCUGAAUCUAAAAUAAAAGUUGAUUAAAAAAAAACAAAUGUAGCUCUCUCUAAGAUGAUUACUCAACUGGUGAAGGGAAGGAUAAAGAGUAAUUUAAUACACCAAAUAUUGCUUUUACACUGAAAUUGUGUUCACAUGUCUUCUGUUUGCAGUGAGAAUCAAACGAGGAAUGGAUAUUAGCUAAGCAAGAUGAUUUCGGGAAUGAUUUUUUGUUUGUUUGUUUGUUUCGACAUUGAAUUAAUAUGGAGACAUAAACAAUAAGCAACAGGAUUCAGUAAAGUAUGUAGUAUAGACAAUAGGGAGUCAGGAAUGAAAAGACAAUCAACUUUAGUUAGGCCGGAAAAGACUUUACCAAAGCGGAACCUAAGAUGAUCAUUCAUGGAUGGGAGGUGGAGGAGAAUGGGGAGUUAUUCCCAGGAAAGGACUGUGCAAAUAUAUAUACAAAGGUGGAAGGGUGCUUCACAGGGAUAGUAAAAAUUUACCCUCUAGAGUAGAAUGGCUAUUUUCAGGGUGUGUUUCCCAUAAUUAGGUAAACAGAAGGUAUAAUAUAUAAUAAAACAUAAGGCUAGGACAAAUGAAUAAGGUCUGUUAAGUGGGAGUUAGUUAGCUUGAUAAAAAAGAAAUUGAUAUUCCAGAAAUCAGAAGAUAUACAUAUAUAUAAGAUAUAUAUAAUCUUUACAUAUUGUUAACAUUAUCUUAAAUAUCUUUAUUAUAAUAUUAUUCUAUAAUAUAUCUUCUGAUCUCUGGGGCAUCACUUUUUAAAGAUAAUUAUAUACGUGUGUAAUUAUAAAUACAUAUAUGAUAUAUAUAUAAGAUAAUAGAGUUAGAUGUGCUCUUUCAAAACCUUAAAUGCAAUAAUCUUAUGAAUUCUGGAAGUAUUGACUAUGUUUGAGAAACAAGUGACAUGAGAAAAGCAGUGUUUAAGAGUAUGCAGGACAGAUAGAGGUAAAGAAAAGCUGGAGGCAAGGAAGUUAAAUUAGAAUGGUUUUUCAGUAAUCUAGUUAUGAAAUAAUGACAGACAGAUUAAAGUGCUGUAACUGAAAAUGAGAAGGAAGAAAAGGAUAAGCAACAAAUACCAAAAGAAAAAUUUGCAUAGAAUAUUACAGAACAUUUGGGGUCAAAGUGUAACGAUGUACUCUGAGUUUUCAGGUUUUCUGAAUCAUACCUUUGUUUCCAUUGAUCUGUUUUCUCUUAGGUUGGAAAGAAAAUACACACUUGGUGAAAUGAAAGUCAAUUAAUCAUGCUUUUCAGUUUCUUUUUUUUAAACAAACAUGCCAUUAAAGGAAUCAUGAUUUUUUUUUUUUCAUUUUAUGGUCACAAUACCUCAGUGAGUUUGGUGUUGUCAUUCUGACUUCAGAUUUAAAGAAACUGAGCCUCUAAAAGGUUAAGUGAGUCUGCAAAUUUCCAAAGUCACAUAGUCAUAGCAGAUAGGAGUGUGAUGAAAAAUUGUCCCUUUGUUCUUAAAACAGUGUUCUUUUUUCACUAUACAGGAUUUUUUUUUUUUUUCUGGUGAGGAAAUAUCCUUAAUGACUCCUUUGUUUUCAAUUAGAACAUUACUCCUUGCCUUCCCAGGCAGUGAAUCUGCUGUAUUAAAAUGUGUUUAUUCUUUUUUUUUUUUUAACACUUUUUACUGCCAUCCUCAUUUUUUAUUAAAAAGUAAAUUUGGUAGACAUUCAAGCAUGCAGAGAAAAAUUUCUCUAGGCCUGAUGGCAGUAGAAAAGAAUUUUGAGUUAGGCCUUUUGCAACAUUUCCUGAUUUCCAGGUAUACUUGAAACACACAAAGAGACUAUGCAGAGGUAGCGUAUCUGCCAAAAGUUGCAUUACUCUCUUUUGCUCAAUAUUACAUAAAUCCCUUCUCUUUCCAUAAGAAGAUAUGACAGAGACAGUUAAUAUCCACAUGAGCCUUCCCAUUUCUCAGCCUCCUUUGCAUUCAGGGCAGGAACAUGGGCGGAAGUGAUGUAUACCAUUCCCACUCCUGGCUUUAAGAGUCAAGUGCAACCUCCUUCCCCAUGGGUAUGACCUUGAAAGCCACGUUGGCGAUGGCAGAGUCACCAGAGGAAAGCAGACUGGUUCUCUCUGACUCACUGUUUGGCACGGGGCUGUUCUGGAGAGUGUCUGAACUCACAAGUAGAUUUUGUGUGAGCAAAAACCAAACCGUUAGGUGCUUACCCGCUGAGAUGUGGGAGUUUGUUUGUUACUGCCAUUGAAUCUAAUUCUGACUAAUUCAGGUAUUGACUCCAUCAUGGACAAGGAAGAUCUAAAAUGGCAAGACUAUUAAAAGCAAAAACAAAAAGUUAGUUGAUUUUGAUGUCAAAGAGAAAAUAAUAAUUGCUUAAAAAUCCUCUAUUUGAGGAAAAAGUAUUAUUUGGGGCUAACUUACCAAGAAGUUGCUGCAGUCUCAAGAUCCAAUACUUAGAAAAACAGGUUUUCAUCUUAAACCAACCCAAUAAAGCACCAUUUUUCUUCUAUUCUGUCAGACAAAUAAAUCACACCUUUACCUCCUAUUAUGCUGAUACGCAAUCCUCGUGGUAGACACAAAGUUGGCUUAUGGAUUUUUGAGUUGGUAAAAAUAUCUAAUCCUAUGGACUGAAAAAAAUUGUUAAAGCAUAGCGGCAAUCCAAUCUUGAGACUGUAAGUAGUUUCUUGAAUUUGUAUUGUACUUUCACUAUUAUGUUACAUAUAGUUCAUACGCUCAUCAUGAAAAUUACACAAAAUGAGGAGAGCUAUUUAUAAAUAUGAAAACAGAGUCAUAGACGGUCAAGUUCAUUAAGCUAUUGAGUGAAUAGGAGUGGGAAUUCAAACCCGUUUCUGAUUCUUAUUUCUAAAUAUUGUCUGGUAUAAUCUAAUGCUCUUUAACUCUUUUUUGCAUCCAUAAAACUGAAUAUUUUAGACUUAGAUGUUUUCUUCUCUUCUUUUUCCCCAUGAAACAAAUAUCUAUGUCUGUGUAUGCAUAUAAACAGCUCUCCUUAUGGCUUUAUUACAAAGAGCAUUUUUUUGCUUGUUUCUUGUCAUUUUAAAUUGAAGGUUUGCAUAUCGGAGGUUGUUCUUUACAAUCUUAGUAAACUCUGUUUUGUUUAUGUUUUACCAGAAGAUAUGGCUUUUCCUGAAUAUCUAUGCUUAACUCGUUCCUGUGGUCCUUUCCUCUUUUUUCUCAGUUUCUUCUAGUCGUCUCAAAUGUCUGCAUCUAAAACCCACAUUCAGAUGCCCACGGUUGUCUACAGUCCACCUGUUUCCAGCUUCCCCCUUCUUCAAUGUUAGUCACAGAUAAAUAUUAUUUGCUAUUUUAUCUCAGAGUAUUUGGGAAACUGUGGGACUCUUGAACACAGUUGUCAGUGAGGGUUGUGUACGCAACAGAAAGAAAUAAACCAGAAAUAAAUAUUUAGAGAUUAAACAGCUGGUUAAUAAACCAAGAAGUAUUCUUUUCAUCCUUCUACCAUCUGAUUUGUGAUUCCAGAACGUCCAGAAGAGAGAGAUUUAAAUUGCUUUCAGCUAAGCUGUAGACCUCUAGCAGAUGAACGACAUAUUUUCCUGAAGGGUGUGAAGAGGAUACUGACCCACCAGAAAGAGACCCCACUGCUAGAACGAAUAAGAUGUGCUGAAAGCCGGAGCAUAACUUGGCCAUUCCCAAGAUUUAACAACAAACUAACUACCCAUCAUUAACAGUAAAGCAGAAAGAAAACAAUCAGUAAGAGAUUAUAUAGACCUAAGAGAUGUUACAGACCGAAGAAGAACCUAUGGAGGAAGACAGGAAGAUGAGAGAGAUUUGAAGAUGGUAUGUGGCUGAAUUUGAAGAUAGAGAAAGGAACCGCAAGCAAAGAAUGCAAGAGGUCUCUAGAAGCUGGAAAAGGCAAGGAAAGAGUCUCCCCUCAAGCUCCAGCAGGAAUGCAGUCCUGACACCUUGAGUUUAGCCUAGUGAGACUUCUGACCUCCAGAACUAGAAGAUACAAGUGGUGUUUUAAGGCACUAAAACGAAGAACUAGAAGUAUUGUUUUAAGCCCAUAAAUUUGUGAUAAUCUGUUACAGUAGUAAUAGGCAAUGCAUACACAAGCACACAAAGUAAAAUUUUUCUGUGGUUAUUUUCCAUAUUUUUUCAGUUAUUUUCUGCCUUUUGAAGACAUUAAAGACAUAAAAUGAAUAUGUAUUAGUUUAGGAAUAAAAUUUAAAAUGUAGGAAUGCUAUAAAAGAAGAAAAAAUUUUAACUGGGCUAAAGCAAACCCAGUAUGUCAUCCUAUUACAUCAGCUUCUUCAUCUUUGGAUGAAGAGGUUGGUGACUGUUUCUUCUAAUGUGAGAAUAGCUCCAAAUUGCUAAAUUGUUCAGAAUUUGACAAGAUGAAAGAGGAAAGAAAAAGGAAAUCUUGAAAACAUUUACUGUUUCCUUGUUCAAUGGAUAACACAUGGAUUCCUGAUUGGGAGAUUUUUCCUCUUGCUUUGAUCUGAAGGCAGAAGGAAAUAUAUUCAUUAUUGUUUAAAAGAAUACAUUUUAACCUAACUUUAAAACAUUCAUGAUAUAUUUGUGAACCAUAAUCUUAUUACCCCAACCUAGAAGUUAUUUUGAUCACUAAACUUCCUUUUCAAUAUCUUCAUAUAUGUGUCUUUACAUACUUUAAAUAAAAAAUAUAUAAUUGUAUAACGUUUUAUUAUUUUAUUUAAUAUUUAUCACUUCUAAUAAAUAUAUGUAAAUAUGUAAACAGAAUUUAUGUAUUUUUUCAACAAACAUUUCAAACAUCUACCUUAUGCAAAGCAAUAUAUAGUGAAGGCAGAUAUAAAGUAUAAAUAAGUAUUCUCUAAUAUUGCCUCUAUUUUAAAAAAACUAAAUGUAUUGAGCAUUCUCUAUAUGCCAGGAACUGAACUAAGUAAUUUACUGUUAAUUUACACUAUAAUUCCAUGAAGUAGGUAUUAAUAUUAUCUCCAGGACUAAAGUGAGAUGAUUGACAUUUCUCUUUCCAGAUGAAAUUAGGUAAGUUAUCCAAGGUCAUGUAUCUAGGAAGCAAUAAAUCUAGGAAAUUCAAAUUUAUUGUUAAUUUUUCUAUUUUUUUAUGGAAUUAAGAAAAUGUUAUUUAUAGUUAAUGCUCUUAUACAGAAUUCCCUAUAUUUAACUUUUUCUUCUUAAAAUGACUUAUUUGAGUAACUAUGAGCCUUG